Molecule: unclassified non-coding RNA, 156 nt
Filed under: uncultured Lophiostoma
Lineage: Eukaryota; Fungi; Ascomycota; Dothideomycetes; Pleosporales; Lophiostomataceae
Description: sequence contains ITS2
Source: RNAcentral
AACCCCUCAAGCACCGCUUGUUGUUGGGCGCCUGUCCCGCCUCCGCGCGCGGACUCGCCUCAAAGACAUUGGCGGCCUGUGUAUUGGCUACGAGCGCAGCAGACCCGCGCCUCGUCCCCUCUCGCGCAGGCGCCCAGGAAGCGCAAACCCCCAAUU